GGGGCUGUAGCUCAGCUGGGAGAGCGUCGCGCUGGCAGCGCGAAGGUCACGGGUUCGAGCCCCGUCAGCUCCA
This 73-nucleotide transfer RNA is filed under the name Solirubrobacterales bacterium. Its description in RNAcentral is "tRNA-Ala". It matches the Rfam family "tRNA". Rfam says of the family: Transfer RNA (tRNA) molecules are approximately 80 nucleotides in length. Their secondary structure includes four short double-helical elements and three loops (D, anti-codon, and T loops). RNAcentral also lists the same sequence under 2 other names. Lineage: Bacteria; Bacillati; Actinomycetota; Thermoleophilia; Solirubrobacterales. The record is from RNAcentral.